CGGAAGCGCGCGGACUGGUGGAGCCAGGUCCGCCCCGGCGAGCCGCUCCCAGGACCAGCUUGGCCAGUAGAGCUAAUUCUGGUGGUUGGCAUUGACUCAGCGCGGGUGAGGUGUUCUUCCUGCAAAGCUUCAUCAUUUUCCUGAACCAGCUCCACCCAGUGUUAAUAGCAUCUUCCCAGACUGAAUCAUCAAAUCCUGGCUGCUCAGACUAUCUCUCUCCAACAGCGUCUGGUGGGAUGGAUAAAUAGAUGAGUGAGCCGUUUUUCCCAGGAAGUCAAGCUCCAGAAGUCAAGGAAAAGAAGGAGCUUUGGCCUCACAAGGCCAAAAGCAGACCGAGGAAGGAAACUAACCAGAAAAGUUCAGACAGUCAAAGAAAGAAAAGAUUCAAUCUUCAAGACCACACACAGGCUGAAGACAGCAGCCAGCGAGGCCACAUGCUCCUCCUCCCCGACCUUAAACCCCAGCACAAGCUCCCCGUCCCCCACCUCAAGCCACAGGGAAAACCCUAACUUUUCCCCUUUGAGAGGUAGAGUUGAGUUUAACUGCUGUCUCCUUGUCUAGAUGCCUUUCCACGAUAAACCUCUUUCCUUGCCACAAGCCUCAGUUAAUUGGUCCCCCUGCAUGUCGGGUAAGGGACCCUUGUCUGUGUUCGAUAACAGGAUUAGGACCUGAUAUCUUUGGGGACCACUGCCCAGCCUACCACACUUCCCCUGUCUGAGCCUCAGUUGUUUCAUCUGUGCGAAGAAGAUAGUGAGAACUCCCUCUCAGGGCCGCUGUGAGGUUUCAGUGGGUUAAUGCAAAUCAGGCCUUUGGCGUGCUGGCAGGCAGGCAGGCAGGCAGCUUUCGAUGAAUGGUGUGGUUAUUAUGAAUUGAUUUCUUGAGUUAUUUCUACCCAGGACUGGCAAUUGUGGGGGUAAUUGAUUCCAGUGAUGUCACCUCUCCGACUGCCAGGUUUUCAGCAGGAUUAAAUGUGCCAAAUGGGCUUUGUUGAGCCAACUCCUCUGGGUGUGAAGAGCCGCCAUGCCAACCCGCCUUGCUGUUUCACAAAGGCCCGUCUGCCGCUUCUCCCUAAUUAGCGCCAAGGCGACACCCGCCAGCAGGCCCACUUGCUGCCAUCCCAGGAAAACAGCGCAGCACACUACAGCUAAAUAUUUGAACGUUUUUUUCAGUGACUGGAUGAAAAUAGUAUUUUGGGCAUUUAAACAGCACAGAGGAGAGAAGAGGAAGAAAGGCCACUUCAUCCUUGUAACCAUAUGGGCAGCCUCAGGGACCAAGAGGGCCCAGCCUUUGGCGUCUGACGUGGAAAAAAUGCUCUAAGGAAACCCAACUGUGUCACCGACCUAGGGCAAUGUCACAGUAAACUACCAUCGUUAUGAAACGGGAGAAUAUAAAAAUCGAAAGCUGGCUGCUUCAUUCCAUUCAGUUCUAGAAUCACUUCUUAAGCUGCUCCCUCACAUCAAGCUUUGCCAGGCAC
Molecule: long non-coding RNA, 1474 nt
Filed under: Equus caballus (horse)
Lineage: Eukaryota; Metazoa; Chordata; Mammalia; Perissodactyla; Equidae
Description: lncRNA (ENSECAG00000045478.1)
Source: RNAcentral